Molecule: long non-coding RNA, 388 nt
Filed under: Homo sapiens (human)
Lineage: Eukaryota; Metazoa; Chordata; Mammalia; Primates; Hominidae
Description: non-protein coding lnc-RNF38-3:1
Source: RNAcentral
GAUCAGCCUGGCCAACAUGGCGAAACCCCGUCUCUACUAAAAAUAACAAAAAUUAGCUGGGCGUGGUGGCAGGCACCUGUAGUCCCAGCUACUCGGGAGGCUGAGGCAGGAGAAUCACCAUGUGGGCCAGGCUGGUCUUGAACUCCUGACCUCAGGUGAUCCACCUGCCUUGGCCUCCCAAAGUGCUGGGAUUACAGGCGUGAGCCACCGCGCCCAGUGGAGUCUUUUUUUUUUUUUUUUUUUUUAAGAUGAGGCUCUAUGUUAUCCAGGCUGGUCUCAAACUCCUGGGCUAAGGGAUCUUCCCACCUCAUCCUCCUAGGUAGCUAGGAUUACAGGCACACGCCAUGGCACUCAGCUUUGAAGCCUUUUAUAACCUAUAGUAACCUUA